GACGAACGCUGGCGGCGUGCCUAAUACAUGCCAGUAGAACGCACAGUUUAUACCGUAGCUUGCUACACCAUAGACUGUGAGUUGCGAACGGGUGAGUAACGCGUAGGUAACCUGCCUGGUAGCGGGGGAUAACUAUUGGAAACGAUAGCUAAUACCGCAUAAUAUUAAUUAUUGCAUGAUAAUUAAUUGAAAGGUGCAAUUGCACCACUACCAGAUGGACCUGCGUUGUAUUAGCUAGUAGGUGAGGUAACGGCUCACCUAGGCGACGAUACAUAGCCGACCUGAGAGGGUGAUCGGCCACACUGGGACUGAGACACGGCCCAGACUCCUACGGGAGGCAGCAGUAGGGAAUCUUUGGCAAUGGACGAAAGUCUGACCGAGCAACGCCGCGUGAGUGAAGAAGGGUUUCGGAUCGUAAAGCUCUGUUGUAAGAGAAGAACGGGUGUGAGAGUGGAAAGUUCACACUGUGACGGUAUCUUACCAGAAAGGGACGGCUAACUACGUG
Molecule: ribosomal RNA, 505 nt
Filed under: uncultured bacterium
Lineage: Bacteria
Description: partial 16S ribosomal RNA
Rfam family: Bacterial small subunit ribosomal RNA
Source: RNAcentral